CAGCCGCCGCGGUAAUACGUAGGGUGCGAGCGUUAAUCGGAAUUACUGGGCGUAAAGCGUGCGCAGGCGGUUGUGUAAGACAGGUGUGAAAUCCCCGGGCUUAACCUGGGAACUGCGCUUGUGACUGCACAGCUAGAGUAUGGCAGAGGGGGAUGGAAUUCCGCGUGUAGCAGUGAAAUGCGUAGAUAUGCGGAGGAACACCGAUGGCGAAGGCAAUCCCCUGGGCCUGCACUGACGCUCAUGCACGAAAGCGUGGGGAGCAAACAGGAUUAGAUACCCGUGUAGUCCCUGUCUCUUAUAA
RNAcentral lists this ribosomal RNA (301 nucleotides) under uncultured bacterium. Its description in RNAcentral is "partial 16S ribosomal RNA". It matches the Rfam family "Bacterial small subunit ribosomal RNA", at positions 509 to 809 of the family's 1533-position model. The record is from RNAcentral.